This 1054-nucleotide long non-coding RNA is filed under the name Populus tremula. RNAcentral's name for it is "long non-coding RNA (PTRE_LNC001623)". The record is from RNAcentral. Lineage: Eukaryota; Viridiplantae; Streptophyta; Magnoliopsida; Malpighiales; Salicaceae.
UGAGGAGAAUGGGAGUGUGGUGGACAAAAUUGAAAUUAGAGAAGAAGAGGAAAAGAAGAAGAGGAAGAGGAAGAGGAAGAGUGGAGAGGUAGAGGUAAAGGAGGAGAGGGAGGAGGAAGAGAAGGAUGGAUUGGAAGAGGAGGGCCAAAGGAAGAAGAGGAGGAGAAAACAAGUGGAUGAUAAUUGAGUGAAAAAGGAGGUUACUUGUAAUCGGAUAAUCGGGUAUUUCAAUUGCUGUUGGGAAUGAAAUUUACUGCUUUUCAAAUAUGUUUAUGUUCUUUGAAAUUUACAUAUUCAGCUUAGAUUGUUUUGUUCUUUGAACUUUAUAGAUUGCUUGAGAAGUUUUGGUCGCAGUAGUUGUUAUUUGUAAAGCAGAAACCAGAAUGCUGACUGCUGAUCAUCAUACAGUUUGUUAAAAGCAGACUCUAUAUAAUUCUAAAACUAGCUAGGUUUGGCCUGACCCUGACAGCAGUGGCUACUAACUUACACUUGGCUGGUCAACUCAGUGAACCUGCCAAUGUCUGUCUUUGCCUGCAUGGGCUGUACACGUUUCCUGUUUAGUUGAGUGGUGAGCUUUCCUCUUUAUUUUUCAAAACAAACCAGUUCUCGUGGCUCUGUGCCUGCGUUCUUAUGAUUAUUAUUGCUUUGCUUUUGGAUUUUUCUGGCAAUAUAGCUUGAGACUUUUUAUUCUUUUGUUAAGUUUUGAGUUGAUUAUAUUGGAUUAUCGUUACAAGGAAAUUGAAUAAUUUAGCUAACUACUAGAUGCAUCAGCCUUCAUUUGUUUGAUUUAUAUUUAGUUGCUGGGACAAAAUGAGGAGAAAAAACUAAAGUUUUGUGCUUUCUUGAAAACAAAGUAAAAUUCUGCACAACUUUGUUUCAAUGGUGUUUUGCUGGUAACAAGGAUAUCGAUAGUGAGCGUUCUGCUCAACAGGAUUGCAGCAAGACAUUGGUUUGGCAAUAUGGGGAGAAAUCAGGGUUUGAAUAAUGAAAGGGGCUUGCCUGGGGUAUGGUGAGUUAUUCCUUCCGGGUAUUGCACUGGUUUUGCGAUUCUUCU